Molecule: ribosomal RNA, 470 nt
Filed under: uncultured bacterium
Lineage: Bacteria
Description: SSU rRNA
Rfam family: Bacterial small subunit ribosomal RNA
Source: RNAcentral
AGGAUAAACGCUGGCGGCGUGCCUAACACAUGCAAGUCGAACGUCUCUUCUUUCGGGAAGAGGAGUGGCGGACGGGUGAGGAACACGUGGGAACCUGCCCUUUAGUGAGGAAUACCGGCGAGAAAUCGCCGACAAGACCGCAUAGCCUCGGUGCAAGCCGAGGAAAGCUCUCUCGAGAGAGGGAGCGCCACACGAGGAGCCUGCGCCCGAUUAGCUAGCUGGUGGAGUAACGGUUCACCAGGGCGACGAUCGGUAGCUGGUCUGAGAGGACGAUCAGCCACACUGGGAUUGAGAACGGCCCAGACUCCUACGGGGGGCAGCAGUGAGGAAUUUUCGUCAAUGGGGGCAACCCUGAACGAGCAACGCCGCGUGCAGGAAGAAGGUUUUCGGAUCGUAAACUGCUUUUCUCGGGGAAGAGAAUGGACGGUACCCGAGGAAUCAGCCCCGGCUAACUACGCGCCAGCAGCCGC